AAAACCUAUACCCCUUGACGGCCUUCUUUCUAAUCAAAGGAACUUGUUUCUUAAUCGAGAUUACACGCUAAUUUUUUCUUCUCCUGAAGUUUUUAUACCGUCGUCUUAAGAAUACACCCUUAAGUUUAUUCCAAAUUAAUUAGUUAAAUAAGUCAGAUCAAGGUGAAGCCUAUGGAGUAGACCACAAUGAGUUAUUUAUAAAAAUAAUUUAUAAAUUUAUAUUUUAAAAAAUAAAUGAAUUAAGAUUUGAAAGUAUUAUUAAAUUAACAAUUUACAAAGAG
RNAcentral lists this ribosomal RNA (281 nucleotides) under Namea dahmsi. Its description in RNAcentral is "partial 12S ribosomal RNA". Lineage: Eukaryota; Metazoa; Arthropoda; Arachnida; Araneae; Anamidae. The record is from RNAcentral.